Molecule: long non-coding RNA, 743 nt
Filed under: Cricetulus griseus (Chinese hamster)
Lineage: Eukaryota; Metazoa; Chordata; Mammalia; Rodentia; Cricetidae
Description: lncRNA (ENSCGRG00000025136.1)
Source: RNAcentral
GGUUCUCUUAUUGCUUCCUGUGGGUUAGAUGUUCUUCUCCAACUAAGGAGUUGGCAAGUUGAAUGCAGGGACUGAGCAUCACCACGCCCCUUCCUCUGCUCUACCUACUAGGUCUGCACAGGCGCAAUGGCCUGGGCGGUACACCAUGAAAUCAAACUCUUGAGAUUUAUUUGAAGUGGCAGUGGCCUGAGGAAGAGUGCAUUGUGAGCUGGAGAGACCACUGCCCUGACCAGUGGGACAUGGGAACGAGAUGUCACAGGAUGGACAUGCUGGCUUUAUAGGCUCCUUGUGUGUUUGAUUCACAGCAGAGACAGUGAGGGAUGAAGAUUUUUCUCCUAAGUGUAACUUCCCGGUACCCUGUCCCCUGUGCUGUGCGCCGUGCUCCCACCCCCCUCCUUGCUUUGAGACACGGUAUGUUCUUCACACUAUAUGUGCUAAUGAGAAAGCGCUAAUGAGCUGGGCCAACAUGGAAAGGCGGCUCCCAUGGCUGGGGGCAGUCUAAGCAGCUGGGCACAUGAAGUCAACUCUCUCUAGCAGUGUGUGGGGGGGAAGGGGCUUAAUUUCCUGUGUUUUAGUUCUUUUUGUUUGUUUGUUUUGAGACAGGGUUUCUCUGUGGGUUUGGAGGCUGUCCUGGAACUAGCUCUUGUAGACCAGGCUGGUCUCAACUCAUAGAGAUCCGCCUGCCUCUGCCUCCCGAGUGGGCAUGCACCACCACCGCCUGGCCACUGUCUUAGUUCUUAAGC